Molecule: ribosomal RNA, 337 nt
Filed under: uncultured bacterium
Lineage: Bacteria
Description: bacterial SSU rRNA
Rfam family: Bacterial small subunit ribosomal RNA
Source: RNAcentral
AAACUGAGGGAUAAGCAUCGGAAACGUGUCUAAUACCGCAUAUGGUCUCGGAUUAAAGCUUCGGCGGUUUGGGAAGAGCCCGCGCAAGAUUAGCUAGUUGGUGAGGUAAUGGCUCACCAAGGCAACGAUCUUUAACUGGUUUGAGAGGAUGAUCAGUCACACUGGAACUGAGACACGGUCCAGACUCCUACGGGAGGCAGCAGUAAGGAAUUUCCACAAUGGGCGAAAGCCUGAUGGAGCAACGCCGCGUGCAGGAUGAAGGCUUUAGGGUUGUAAACUGCUUUUAUAUGUGACGAAUAUGACGGUAGCAUAUGAAUAAGGAUCGGCUAACUCCGUG